GACGAACGCUGGCGGCAUGCCUCAUACAUGCAAGUCGAGCGGUCUUUAAGUGGAAGGCUUGCCUUUCACUUGAAGAUAGCGGCGGACGGGUGAGUAACGCGUGGGUAACCUGCCCUAAAGUGGGGGAUAACAUUCCGAAAGGAGUGCUAAUACCGCAUAAUGUCCUUUGCCCGCAUGGGUGGAGGAAGAAAGGGAUUAACUCGCUUUAGGAUGGGCCCGCGUCCCAUUAGCUAGUUGGUAGGGUAACGGCCUACCAAGGCGACGAUGGGUAGCCGGCCUGAGAGGGCGACCGGCCACACUGGGACUGAGACACGGCCCAGACUCCUACGGGAGGCAGCAGUCGGGAAUAUUGGUCAAUGGGGAACCCUGAACCAGCAAUGCCGCGUGAGCGACGAAGGUCUUCGGAUCGUAAAGCUCUGUCCUUGGGGAAGAUAAUGACGGUACCCAAGAAGAAAGCCACUGCUAACUACGUG
RNAcentral lists this ribosomal RNA (473 nucleotides) under uncultured bacterium. Its description in RNAcentral is "bacterial SSU rRNA". It matches the Rfam family "Bacterial small subunit ribosomal RNA", at positions 28 to 507 of the family's 1533-position model. The record is from RNAcentral.